Molecule: ribosomal RNA, 497 nt
Filed under: uncultured bacterium
Lineage: Bacteria
Description: partial 16S ribosomal RNA
Rfam family: Bacterial small subunit ribosomal RNA
Source: RNAcentral
GAUGAACGCUGGCGGCGUGCCUAAUACAUGCCAGUCGAGCGAACGGACGAGAAGCUUGCUUCUCUGAUGUUAGCGGCGGACGGGUGAGUAACACGUGGAUAACCUACCUAUAAGACUGGGAUAACUUCGGGAAACCGGAGCUAAUACCGGAUAAUAUUUUGAACCGCAUGGUUCAAAAGUGAAAGACGGUCUUGCUGUCACUUAUAGAUGGAUCCGCGCUGCAUUAGCUAGUUGGCAAGGUAACGGCUUACCAAGGCAACGAUGCAUAGCCGACCUGAGAGGGUAAUCGGCCACACUGGAACUGAGACACGGUCCAGACUCCUACGGGAGGCAGCAGUAGGGAAUCUUCCGCAAUGGGCGAAAGCCUGACGGAGCAACGCCGCGUGAGUGAUGAAGGUCUUCGGAUCGUAAAACUCUGUUAUUAGGGAAGAACAUAUGUGUAAGUAACUGUGCACAUCUUGACGGUACCUAAUCAGAAAGCCACGGCUAACUACGUG